Long non-coding RNA from Episyrphus balteatus (marmalade hoverfly), 8959 nucleotides. RefSeq lists it as uncharacterized. NCBI's taxonomy places the organism in Eukaryota, Metazoa, Arthropoda, Insecta, Diptera, Syrphidae. The record is from RefSeq and is a predicted model, not a curated record. The transcript has 3 exons.
UGCUAAGUAUCCGUACAGGUACCAUGUUGUUCUUUGGUGCCACAAGAGUCUUCCCGAUGAUGAUGUUUUCGGAACUUUGCUCAACUUCUGGUUCAACCAUGAGGUAUCGAUGGCUUCCAAAGUUCCCCUUUAACUUGGUCCACACAAAAACUUCUGAAGAAGGAGGCAGGCACAUGUCUUCUUUGAUGAUAGUUCUAAUUGUUGUCGAGUUUUCGUUGCCAUAGACCAUUGGAAUCUCUACAUUUCUGUAUUUCAGGACUUGAUUACCUAUAUCCAAAAUGAUUCCAUGCUCCUUCAUGAAGUCGAUUCCAAUGAUGCACUCGUCACAUAUAUCUGCCACCAAAAACACAUGUGAAAACUCUAGUUCAGCUAUACGGAUCGUAAGACGAACUUCUCCGUACACUCUUGCUGCUUCUCCUGUGGCGGUCUUCAGACGGUAGCUGUUGGUGUUAUGUAGCCAUGUCAUCUUCACCAAGUCUCUUCGUACAAUGGAGGCGGUGGCACCGGUGUCAAUUGUAGCCACGUGUUGUUUGUUGUUUAUGGUUGCCUCCACUGUCAGACUUUUGUUGUCUCGUUUAGUCUGUGAGACUUGAAUUGUGGUUCUGGGGCCAUCGAUACCAGAAACCAGCUUCUGCCGGGAAUCAAGAUGAGCAUGAGUGUUAGUUGUAUCGCUUACCUGUUGUUGGGCAAUAUUCCUGUUUCCACAGUGUUCGCAAGCAGUUCUUCUUGGUGGCAAUCUGCACUGCCGCUGGAGAUGUCCGGUCUUGUUACAGUUCCAGCAUCGAGCAGCUCCGUCUCGCUGGUUUCUUUGGAAUGCGAGUUUUUGACAAGAGCAUUCCUCCACUGAAACUUCUCUUACCCGAUGAACGCCUUGAGAAGCCUGUUCUGCUGCUUCCAUAGUUAGUGCAAAUGCUAAUGCUUCAGGAAGGGAACGUUUUCCAGCUGUUCGUAUCGCUCGCUGAAGAUUUAUGUCAGAUACAGCACGAACAAAGGCUUCUGUCGCAAACUGAUUGAUAAUGUCGUCUCCUGCUGUCGGAUAUGCCAGAUGAGCUAACCUUUCAAUAUCAGCUUGGAGUUGUUGCAGAGUUUCUCCUCUUUUUUGGACUCUUGUAUUGAGUUGGACGCGGAAGACCUCCUGCAUAUGCCCAUCUCCAAAACGUUUUUCAAUGACCUGGACAAGAGCUUUAAAGUUACCAUUCUUUUCUGGUGGUAAAGUUUGCAACAACUCAGCAGCAGGACCUCUAAGAGCAAGAGUCAGCGCUAUACAUUUGUCUUCUUCAUCCCAGCCAUUAGUUGUGGCAGCUGCUUCAAACUGUUUCUUGUAGAUUGACCAAGAACUUUGUCCAUCAAAGGUUGGUGGAUGCAUUUCCUUUUUCUUUGGAUACUCAACAGAACUUUCUCGGAUCUUAAUUUUCCGAACCUUGUCAAGUUCUUCAGUGAUACUUUGCAUUUUAACUUCCAUUUUUUCAAAUUUGUCAUCCACUUUCUCGAACUUUCCUUCUACUUUUUCGAGUUUUUCUUCAACUUUCUCGAACUUUUCUUGAGAUUGCUUUUCAACGCAUUUGAUGGAAGCAUCAAGAGCAACGAACUUGUUCUCAAUCGCGUCAAGCUUACCUUGGAUGAUGUUUUUCUGUUCAUCUAAUUUUUCGAGAAGAUUUUUCUGUUCAUCCUUCUGUUCAUUACGUUGUUCUUCCAAUUUGGCAAGGAGAACAGCCAUCAUGGACGACAUAUCGGAAGUAUUACUUACUUGUUCUUCUGUCAUUUCAAUUUCGAAUUGAAAUGUAUCCAAAUUUUCGUUCUUCUGGGUUAAAUAAUCCUGCAGGCGAAUAAUGAGGUCAUUUUUCGAUCCAGCAGUAGGAAGACCUCGCUUAGUUAAUUCCGCCUUCAACUCAGUCAAACUUAACUGAUUUAGUGUUUUACCCAUUUUAACUUUUUAAAACGCGAGCACUUUUACUUAUUUCAAAAUGUUUUACACUUUGUUUAUUGUUAAAACACACGCGCACUUUUUAUUUUAUUCGCGAAAUUAUCUGAUUCGCACAAAUAAAUAAGUUUUAUUCCACUUUUCUGACACCAAUGUAAUGUUUUAUUCCGGGUUCACAAUAAAACUUAUUUAAUUUCCACUUAUAUUUCCGUUCAAAUAAGAACACACUUUAUUUCAACUCAAUUUACUUUUAUUAUUCGCUCAAACAAACACACUUUUAAAUCACUUUAUUUACUACUAACAAUUCGCAACACUUUAUUUCACUUUGUACUGUACUCUUUCACUUUCAAGAUUAAACUGUCCCCGGUCGCUGUCUACGCUGCCUUUUAUACCGGAAUCUCGAGACUCGAGAACGUCCUCGAAGGCUCUCGUCCCUGCCUCUCGAAACUUCCUUUCCAGGAAGGGACACUUCAUACUUCCAGUCUAGUGGGAUAUUUUUAGAUGUGUUCAGUGAGAUAUUUUUAGAUGUGUUCAGUGAGAUAUUUUUAGAUGUGUUCAGUGGGAUAUUUUAGAUUUGUUCAGUGAGAUAAUUUUCUUAAUUACUAAAGGUCCGUUCACAUUUCUACCUUUCAGACUUUUAUCUUAAAAGUAGUUCAGUAAUUCAUCGUUACAAUAUAAAUAGAUUAUCGGAGAAAAAUUUAGAAUUGGUUUCUGUUAGAACUAAGUCAUAAAAAUAAUAAAAUUUGUCAAAAUAAAAGUGUCCUUUUUUCUUGGAUUUUUUCAAUCCACAGCUGUCAAAUUGAAAAUCUCACAGACAGGGGUGUAUUUAUUUUUGUUUGGUGAUGGUAAGGCGCUACAACCGCCGGGCGCCCUUAUGUGAAAUUAUUCUUUCCAUUUGUUAUUUUUUUCUCGCUAGCGCAAGUUUAAUGUGAAAAGAGUAUAUAAAUUGUUUUUUAGAUCAAAAAAUUAAGCUUUUUUUAAGUUUUCCAUCCAGAAAUAUGUUUGAAAAUUUUCAUUUAGGUAAGUACUUUUACACUUUUAAGGCAAUGUAGUUAAUGCUUAGAUGCCAAUAUUUUAUAUUUUUUAUUUAAAAAAACACAUAAAUAACGUGUUUCAUAAAAAACAUAAAUUUUAGAGUAGAUAAAACGUUGCGCCUUGCGAACAACCAUCUUACUACACUCCGUCCCUGGUUCAAUGCAUAUGUGUUUGUGUAAUAACACUACUUUGUAAAAAUGAAAAAAAUGCCUCACUGGUUUCUUUAAACACCCAUUCCUGUUCUUCUUAUUCUUAGUCUUUCCAAUUUAUGGAGCAAAAUUAUCGAUUUUGAUUAAUCUGCUAUCGUGCUAACCUGAAACAGGAUAAAUCUUUUUCCAUUUCUUGUCUGUGUGGCCUAAGCGUUGGCAUUUAAAAUUAAGUCAGGCAAUAUAGAAUAAGUACUGAAAAAGUUAGGACCUGCCAAAAUAUUUUUUUUUAUUUAUAAACUUCUGGUGCACCAUCAGGCGCAUAAUAUUUAUGUCGUUUUCUUUCACUCUAAUGAGAGUACCCUUUUAGUACUUAUUUUUGCACUUUUGAAGGUUUUGUGUUCCUCCACGCCACAAAAGUGAAAAAAAAAUUACUCCGGAGUAAUUUUAGUACAACGGAGUACCCCGGAUUUACUCCACAUUUUAAGUCAGAUUUACACCGAUUUUCACACGGAUUUGUACAGACACUUAUGAAUUUGAAGGUUGACAUUUUAAAAUUUUGUUUGAAAAGAGAAAAAUGCGAAGUGUUUUAUUAAAUUUCUUUUGUUAUUAACAAAAAUAACCAUUAUAAAUAUAUUUUCUAUUAUUUUAUAUUCCACCAUGUAUACUUCUUCCAUUAUUUCUUUUUGCAAAACGAAAUUGAAAACCGAAUAAAGGAAUUCUUCAGCCAGUGUUCUUCAUCAAUAAAAAAAAAUCCUGUGCCAGAUAAAAAAAAAUCCCAUAUUUUUUUCUGCUCUGGUGGGAUAUUUUUAUUUUACAAUUAUUAAACUAAGGGUGUGUGUCAAUUAGGCUGAAAAAACCGAUCAGAAGCAUAAUGAAAAAUAUACGAAAAGUAAAACUAAGUCCGCUUUUACACGAAGAUGCAAAGCGCGAGACGAACAUAAAAGCAAGGGAGAAAGACAGUUCGAAAAAACGGGAAGGAAGAUUGUCUACCGUGAGUCUCCGGUAAAAUUUUUUUUGACUAUUUUUGACGCUUCUCUUUGAUCUUUUUUUUCUGUUUUGCUUUAUUUGAUUUCGUCGGUUGCAGAGUCUGCUUCGUCGGUUUUGUAUUAUUUGCGUGUAUAGUACCUAACUUUUUUAACUUAUUCAAAUGUGUUCGUUGCACAUAGACCCCACUAUAGUUGUUUUUUUUUUUUUUAUAUUUUGGAUGCUGUUCAAAUCCUUGAAAAAUUCUAUAUGAAUAAUUGACUAAAAAAUUAUGUAGAAAUGUUUUAAAUGAAUAUUUUUUUUUUUUGAAUUUGAACUGGUGAAAAAUUGUAACGUAUACUUGUAGAGUUAAAUACAAGCAUUUUUUACUAACAGAGAGGGGGUCAAUCUCCCCCCGUUUAAGAGGGAGGGACAAUUUUCAAACAAAUUACUUAAAAUAAAGAAAAAAAUAUUUAAAAAUGACGGCAACACUCACAGUUAUGAAUGAUACCUUUUUCAAAAGCUAACGUUUUAUGCUGAAUUGUUAUUUUUAAAUCAAGUUAUUAUAAUAAAAAGUUUUUGAAAUAAUCGAUUUCCAAGUCAAAAUUUGGGUAAAAAAAGUUUAAAAAACAUAUAGAAUACUAUUUUUUUAAAAGACUGUGGAUUUCAAUGCAAAAUUGAUUGAUACAUCCAACUGUCUCAAUUGAUUCUUUUUCAAUCACUAAAAACCAUAUGUAUGUUCCUAUGCUAUCUAGUUUUUGAGAAAAUUGAAACAUUAGGAAACAACUUUUUUACCAGAUUAGCACUGGUGGUGCAGGGAAUAUAAUUUUAGAUUAAGACACCCAAACAUCAAAAAUUUGCGUCUUAAAAUUUCGAAAAUUAACACCUGUUAAUGGAAAAAAAAUCCAUACAAAAAAGUUUCAAAUUUACAUUACAAUCCUUAUAAUUUUGUUUUUGAUUAUUUCCAUAGUAGUUAUUUUUCUGGAAGGCUAGUUCGAAAAUGAAAAAAAAAAUGUAUGUGUGUCGCAGCUAUGCGCAGCCACUUAAAAUGCAAAAGGAAAGCUAAUAGGUAUAUAAAGCUUUAAAAUUAAUAUGGAUUCUCAAUGGAAUAAUGCGGAAUAAUUUUAAUUUAUCUCCAUUUAAUGUAAAAAUUAACCCAAAAAACACGAUUUUUCAACUUUUAAGCAAAGUAGCAAAGUAUUGAACAUCAUAUGAAAUGAGAUUUUACUUAAAUUGAUAUGCUCCUGUAUUAUAUUUAAUAAAAAUCACACAAAAAUUUCAAUAACAAAUUAAAAAAACACUUAAAAAACCAUAGUAACCAAAGCACCUCUAAACCUCAAUUUUACCUCAAAAAAUCACAAACUCCAACUUUACGAUCAGUUAUUUUUUGUUUGCGUUAUCUCCACCCAAAAAUCUAAUUACACUUACUUAGUACAAGGUAUUAGCUUCACAUAAAACCGGCUUUUGCUAGAUUCUUGCAAGUGAUUUUUUUAAUUAAAUUCCGCUAGAUGAGCGAUUUGUCACACUGUGCAACGGAUUCGACGGAAGAAGUAGCCCAACUUUCUACUUUUUAAUCCGUUGUAUCCUUGACUUUGGAUGUCAACAAUAGAUCAGUUCGAUUUUCUGUUUCUGAGUGCACACCGGGGAAUUUCAGAACUGAGAACUGUGUUCUUUUCUUCUCCAAUUUUAUGAAUUGUGAACUUUAAUUGUCUAUUUGUGAAGAAAAUGUUAUAAAAAAUUCAAUUUGACAAGGCCAAAGUCAUACCUAUUCAGCGAUAAAAUAUCGAACACACCUUGGAAUUUGAAGUGAGCUGUCAAAAAGCAAUCCGUCAUGCAACGUAUUCUAUGGGUCACCCCUUUCUGUACCAUCCGUCAACUUCAACGGAUUGAUUGACGGAAUGAACGCAACGGAUUCCAUGGGUUGGACUUGAAGAUAAUUUCUGCGCCUUGCGUCUUCGUGAAGAAGCAGACUUAUUAUGCCUCAUUUGCUUCAUACAUAUGUUAUUAUUAUUAAUUAGUAUUCAUUUUUUUUUUAAAUGCAAAUUGCUUAGCCCCGAUAGCGUUUUUUGUUUAGUUUAGCCCGGUCGCGGUCGUAAAAAAACACUUUAUGUUUUUACUACUACAUUUAAGUACACGGGGGCUCGUGCCAAAUUUCAAUUUUUAAAAAUCUACCUAUUUUGAUAGUUAGUAGGUACCUAUGUAGGUACCUCCUUUUUGAAAAUUAAAAUUGAUGUCAGCUGAAGCUUUUGGAUUGGAGAGGGCCUUUUAGAAGAGAAAAUAAAUUUCAAAGCAGAGAGAAUUAAGAAAUAAAUUAAGCUAAUAUUACUUUAUGAAAAUACUUAUAACAACUUAUCUACUUUUUGAAAAUUAAAAUUUAACGAAAGAAACGUUCAAUCUGGCAGACGGCAAUCAAACCAUGUCAUAAUUUUUUUAUAUUUACCAAAAUUGUAAAACCAAAUUAUAAUAGAAAUAAAAUACAUAAUAAUAAUGAUAGAAAACUUGUAUCAUUUGCCAAACCCUGGCUUUAUUUGCCCUGAAUUUAUUUUUCCAUUUUAUUUAAGAAACUAUUGUGUUCGUAUUUGUUUCCAAAUUAAUGGGCCUAUGGAUUUAAAGCUCUUUAAAUGCUCUUUUACGUAUUUUAUUUACUAUUCAUAUUCAUAGGUAUUUUAGAAAAAUUGGUGCAAAACAAAUUUUGUUUUAGGUAAUCCUAAUUUUUGGUUUUGUAAAUUUUUUUUAAUCAUUAUAUUUUUCAAGAUAAAGUCGAAAAACUAUAUAAAUAAAGAGUUUCAACUAAGUUAAAGCUAUAUUAUUGUCAACGUUAACUGAUACGUGUGGUGACUAUAUUUUUCAUCAUUGUUCCUGACAGAAAAAGACGUCAAUAAUACUUGACAAGAAUAACUGAUCGUGUGUAGGGCCCUAUAUGGUAUCGUUCUUUUUUUUCUUCUACGUAUCAUCCUUAUUUAAGAAAGUGCAUUUUUAGUGCACACAAAAACAACACGCAGCUGCCGAUAAGAAUAGAAGUUAAACCAAGCUGCGGAUAGAAUUUUACCGAACUGUAGGUAUAAGUUUACGUUUUCCUUUCUCUUAGUGCCUUCAGUGUUAAUAUGUGGGAAAUCCUACUGGAAAUAGUUUUGCCAAAAAACACGCCUAAUGGGUGUGGGUCCUUAGCCCAACGUGUGCAUUUUACAUAAAAACAAGCAAAGCGGCAUUUAAUAAAUAAUAAUUUUAGGUAAUGGCUUAUUUGAUGCUGAAUCUAAUGGAACUUAAACCAAGACAAUUUGACUCCCCUGAAAAUAAUUUGAAAUUACGAAUCGUCAUAUAGUUUUUAUUACAUUUACCAUGUUUUAUGCAUCCAGGGUUUAUCUUAUAAGAAAAGUGUUGGCAACAUUUUGAAAAAAACUACUUUUGAGGUUAUGUUUUUAUGUGAAGACAUUUUUUUUUAAUAUAAAUUAUAACGGUUUCUAUAAGAACUAUAUUCCUUCUUUUAAGAUCUUUUUAAAUCUUUUCGAUAUCUUUUUUAUUGUUCGAGAUAUCGUCAGUUUUUUGGCUUAUUGUAAUGCAUAAAACAGAUAUCACGUUUUCAUCUUCUUCUUGAUAAAAACACACUUCAUUUUAAGAUAUCUCCGGCAGUAAAAAAGAUAUUGCAAAGAUUUAAACAGGUCUUGAAAGAAGGAAAAUAUAUAGAAACCGUUAUGAUUUAUAUUUAAAAAAAAAUUUUCAAAUUAAGGUAUAUCAUAAAAAGUGGUAAAAAAACUUUUUUUUUGCACUUUCUAACGGUAAUAUUUCCAAAACGGGAGCUGAUAGGAUGUUUCUGACUUCAGGUUCGAGUUCAGCACAUCAAAAACUUAUAGAAAAUUAUAUCAUAGUCUUGGCACCAAGAAAAAAAUUUAAUUUUCUAGACCAGUGUAAUUUAAAUUCACUUUAAUUGAUUUUUUUUCAAUACUUUAUUGAUUUUUUUUUAUAAAUAAAAAUAAUUUUCUUGACAAAAAAUAAUUAAAACAACCACAUAAGAAUUUGACACUUAGUCCAUGAAGAAAAAUGUAGAAGUGUUGUUAAUCACUCCGUCACUCCUUUUUCAGUUUUGGAAUUUGAAAUCACUCCUUCUGGGAGUGAUUAUAUAGCUAGGAGUGACAAUUUUUGAAUUUUGGAAAACGACAUAUCUAUCACAAUUGCAUAAGAAAAAUAGAGAAAAAAGGGUUGCUUAAAUGCAGCAAGAUUUCCGUAUGAAGCUGUAGCUAAAACUAUUCAAUUUACUUACAUCACGUAAAUGUGUUAUAAUCAGCCCUAUCGGCAAUACAAUUUCCCUGGAAAAAUUUCUCUAUUCCGAAAAAUCGGUAUCGCCAAUACUUUUUGAAUGGAAAAAUUUCCUAGGAAAAAAUUCCCACACAUAAAUACCGAUCGGGAAUGAAGUUUCUCCCCCGAAGUAUUUCUAUCAUAUUUUUUAUGGGGAACAGAUAUUUUGAAGCCAAAAUGUACGUAUUUUUCUUUCAAAAUAUUCUGUUAAAAAUAUUAAAUUAUUACUUAAUUAAUCCAACAAAAAGCAAAUGAUAUUGCAACUGGAUAACGAAAAAUAGUAGACAAAAAUAAAAUAUAAGAAAACCUUAAAAAAAAGCAUGGAACUAAAGGAGACCAUUCCGAGAGCAUUAGUUUGCUGCUUUGGUCGAAAAAAUGAUCAAAUUAUGUGGAAUGCCUCAAUUUAUUUCAGUUAUUUGUUUAUCAUGUCAAAAAAAAACAAAGCUUAAGAAACUUUAUUGAUUGAUUCCUUAAUUAAAAUUAAAAACACAAAACUAAUUACAUGUCCAUCUGAAGAAACAAACAAAGUAAUAAGUUGGGCAAAAAAUAAAAAAAAAUAUUGAAUAAAAAUCCACAAAUCAACACCAAAGAAAAAAAU